CCUACGGGAGGCAGCAGUGAGGAAUAUUGGUCAAUGGGCGCGAGCCUGAACCAGCCAAGUCGCGUGAGGGAUGAAGGUUCUCUGGAUCGUAAACCUCUUUUAUAAGGGAAUAAAGUGUGGGACGUGUCCUAUUUUGUAUGUACCUUAUGAAUAAGGAUCGGCUAACUCCGUGCCAGCAGCCGCGGUAAUACGGGGGAUCCGAGCGUUAUCCGGAUUUAGUGGGUUUAAAGGGUGCGUAGGCGGCCUUUUAAGUCAGGGGUGAAAGUCUGUGGCUCAACCAUAGAAUUGCAGUUGAAACUGGGGGGCUUGAGUAUGUUUGAGGCAGGCGGAAUGCGUGGUGUAGCGGUGAGAUGCUUAGAUAUCACGCAGAACCCCGAUUGCGAAGGCAGCCUGCCAAGCCAUGACUGACGCUGAUGCACGAAAGCGUGGGGAUCAAACAGGAUUAGAUACCCCGGUAGUC
Molecule: ribosomal RNA, 460 nt
Filed under: uncultured bacterium
Lineage: Bacteria
Description: partial 16S ribosomal RNA
Rfam family: Bacterial small subunit ribosomal RNA
Source: RNAcentral